CCCCCUUAUUUUAAGGAACCUCCUGGAUGCAGCGAUGCCCGCGUGAUUGAAGAAGGCCUUUGGGUUGUAAAGCUCUUUUGUAGGGGAAGAUAAUGACUGUACCCUAAGAAUAAGGUCCGGCUAACUUCGUGCCAGCAGCCGCGGUAAUACGAAGGGACCUAGCGUAGUUCGGAAUUACUGGGCGUAAAGCGCGCGUAGGCCGUUGAGUUAGUUAAUUGUGAAAUCCCAAAGCUUAACUUUGGAACUGCAAUUAAAACUGCUCGACUAGAGUUUGAUAGAGGAAAGCGGAAUACAUAGUGUAGAGGUGAAAUUCGUAGAUAUUAUGUAGAACACCAGUUGCGAAGGCGGCUUUCUGGGUCAACACUGACGCUGAGGCGCGAAAGUAUGGGUAGCAAAGAGGAUUAGAUACCCUCGUAGUCCAUACCAUAAACGAUGAUUGCUAGAUGUUGGAAAUUUAUUUUCAGUAUCGCAGCUAACGCAUUAAGCAAUCCGCCUGGGGAGUACGACCGCAAGGUUAAAACUCAAAUGAAUUGACGGGGACCCGCACAAGCGGUGGAGCAUGUGGUUUAAUUCGAAGAUACGCGCAGAACCUUACCAACCCUUGACAUGUCUGUCGCGAGUUUAGGAAACUAGACUUUUCGGUUCGGCCGGACAGAACACAGGUGCUGCAUGGCUGUCGUCAGCUCGUGUCGUGAGAUGUUGGGUUAAGCCCCGCAACGAGCGCAACCCCUACUUUUAGUUGCCAUCAGGUCAUGCUGGGCACUCUGAAAGAACUGCCAGUGAUAAGCUGGAGGAAGGUGGGGAUGACGUCAAGUCCUCAUGGCCCCUUACGGGGUUUGGGGCU
This 844-nucleotide ribosomal RNA is filed under the name uncultured bacterium. RNAcentral's name for it is "bacterial SSU rRNA". It matches the Rfam family "Bacterial small subunit ribosomal RNA", at positions 372 to 1215 of the family's 1533-position model. The record is from RNAcentral.